UUGACAGCUUUGGAAAUGGAUGGCUUCUUUUUCUCCCAAGAAUAGAUGCAGCCUGAUAAACAGAAAUGUAAGAUUGCCCCAACUGCUUCACCAAUAUGCCUUCUCCCUGACAAAGUAAUGGCUGCAAGAAAGAAAGAACAAGUCACCUUUUCCAGCCAGUUCUCUGCUGACACUGCU
Unclassified non-coding RNA from Bos indicus x Bos taurus (hybrid cattle), 177 nucleotides. The record is from Ensembl. NCBI's taxonomy places the organism in Eukaryota, Metazoa, Chordata, Mammalia, Artiodactyla, Bovidae.